GUAGGUGAACCUGCGGAAGGAUCAUUAUUGAAUAAACUUGAUCAGGUUGUUGCUGGCUCCCCUGAGCAUGUGCACACUUGUCAUCUUUACUUUUCCCCCAAUGUGCACAUAUUGUAGGCCUGGAACUCUUUUGAUUAUCUCGUAUAGAUUGAGGACUGCUGUGCUUCAGCCAGCUUUUCCUUGUGUUUUCAGGUCUAUGUUUACCUUCACAACCUCUGAAUAUGUUUAGAAUGUUGGAAUAUAAUAUAUAUAUACAACUUUCAGCAACGGAUCUCUUGGUUCUC
This 284-nucleotide unclassified non-coding RNA is filed under the name rhizosphere metagenome. RNAcentral describes it as "partial ribosomal RNA internal transcribed spacer region". The record is from RNAcentral.